UACGUAGGUGGCAAGCGUUGUCCGGAUUUACUGGGCGUAAAGAGCGCGCAGGCGGUCGUUCAAGUCGCGUGUGAAAGCCCCCGGCUCAACUGGGGAGGGUCACGCGAUACUGAUCGACUCGAAGGCAGGAGAGGGUAGUGGAAUUCCCGGUGUAGUGGUGAAAUGCGUAGAUAUCGGGAGGAACACCAGUGGCGAAGGCGGCACCCUGGGUCUGACCUGACACUGAUCCGCGACAGCAUGGGGAGCGAACGGG
RNAcentral lists this ribosomal RNA (253 nucleotides) under uncultured bacterium. RNAcentral's name for it is "partial 16S ribosomal RNA". It matches the Rfam family "Bacterial small subunit ribosomal RNA", at positions 524 to 776 of the family's 1533-position model. The record is from RNAcentral.